GAUACGCUGGCGGCGUGCUUACACCAUGCAGUCAGAACGAACUUCGGGUUAGUGGCGGACGGGUGAGUAACGCGUGAGAAUCUGCCCUCAGGAGGGGGACAACAGUUGGAAGCGACUGCUAAUACCCCAUAUGCCGCGAGGUGAAAUGAAUUUCGCCUGAGGAUGAGCUCGCGUCUGAUUAGCUAGUUGGUGUAGGUAAUGGCUCACCAAGGCAUCGAUCAGUAGCUGGUCUGAGAGGAUGAUCAGCCACACUGGGACUGAGACACGGCCAGACUCCUACGGGAGGCAGCAGUGGGGAAUUUUCCGCAAUGGGCGAAAGCCUGACGGAGCAACGCCGCGUGAGGGAUGAAGGCCUCUGGGCUGUAAACCUCUUUUAUCAAGGAAAGAAGAUCUUGACGGUACUUGAUAGAAUAAAGCCACGGCUAAUUCCGUGCCACCAGCCGCGGUAAUACGGGAGUGGCAACGCGUUAUCCGGAAUUAUUGGGCGUAAAAGCGUACAGCAGGCGGCCCUUCAAAGUCUGCUGUUUAAAAAGUGGAGCUUAACUCCACUCAUGGCACGUGGAAACUGUUGGGCUUGACUGUGGUAAGGGCACAAGGAAUUCCCGGGUGGUAUACCGGUGCAAAUGCG
RNAcentral lists this ribosomal RNA (628 nucleotides) under uncultured Synechococcus sp. RNAcentral's name for it is "bacterial SSU rRNA". It matches the Rfam family "Bacterial small subunit ribosomal RNA", at positions 28 to 723 of the family's 1533-position model. Lineage: Bacteria; Bacillati; Cyanobacteriota; Cyanophyceae; Synechococcales; Synechococcaceae. The record is from RNAcentral.